This 476-nucleotide ribosomal RNA is filed under the name uncultured anaerobic ammonium-oxidizing bacterium. Its description in RNAcentral is "bacterial SSU rRNA". It matches the Rfam family "Bacterial small subunit ribosomal RNA", at positions 364 to 832 of the family's 1533-position model. The record is from RNAcentral.
UUUCGCAAUGCCCGAAAGGGUGACAAUGCGACGCCGCGUGAGCGAUGAAGGCCUUCGGGUUGUAAAGCUCUGUCAGCCGGGAUGAAUACGGAUAUGUUAAUAACAUGUCCGGGUGACGUUACCGGCAAAGGAAGCCACGGCUAACUCCGUGCCAGCAGCCGCGGUAAUACGGAGGUGGCAAGCGUUGUUCGGAUUCACUGGGUGUAAAGGACAUGUAGGUGUCUUAUUAAGUCGGUUGUGAAAUCCCUUGGCUCAACCAAGGAACUGCUUCCGAUACUGGUAAGAUUGAGUACGGGAGAGGUAAGCGGAAUUCCAGAAGUAAGAGUGAAAUCUGUAGAUAUCUGGAGGAACACCAUUAGCGAAGGCGGCUUACUGGUCCGAUACUGACACUGAAAUGUGAAAGCUAGGGGAGCAAACAGGAUUAGAUACCCUGGUAGUCCUAGCUGUAAACGAUGGGCACUAAGUAGAGGGGUUUU